AGUAUUUGUGUGAGACUUUGCUGAACUUGUGAUCAAAAACUUAAAGGCAAGUACAAAAAAAAAAUCCUCUUUGGCAAUUCUGAAUUCAGUGUUCAGCAUGAGUUUUAUUUGCAUAAGAAGACAGU
This is a small nucleolar RNA of Peromyscus eremicus (cactus mouse), 125 nucleotides long. RefSeq annotates it as small nucleolar RNA SNORA40. The record is from RefSeq and is a predicted model, not a curated record. The transcript has a single exon. Lineage: Eukaryota; Metazoa; Chordata; Mammalia; Rodentia; Cricetidae.